This 124-nucleotide ribosomal RNA is filed under the name uncultured bacterium. RNAcentral's name for it is "partial 16S ribosomal RNA". The record is from RNAcentral.
AGCCGGGGCUUCUUCUCCAGGUACCGUCAUUAUCUUCCCUGGUGAAAGAGUUUUACAACCCUAAGGCCUUCUUCACUCACGCGGCAUCGCUGGAUCAGGCUUUCGCCCAUUGUCCAAUAUUCCC